RNAcentral lists this ribosomal RNA (253 nucleotides) under uncultured bacterium. Its description in RNAcentral is "partial 16S ribosomal RNA". It matches the Rfam family "Bacterial small subunit ribosomal RNA", at positions 524 to 776 of the family's 1533-position model. The record is from RNAcentral.
UACGAAGGGGGCUAGCGUUGCUCGGAAUUACUGGGCGUAAAGCGCACGUAGGCGGAUUGUUAAGUCGGGGGUGAAAUCCUGGAGCUCAACUCCAGAACUGCCUUCGAUACUGGCGAUCUCGAGUCCGGGAGAGGUGAGUGGAACUGCGAGUAUAGAGGUGAAAUUCGUAGAUAUUCGCAAGAACACCAGUGGCGAAGGCGGCUCACUGGCCCGGUACUGACGCUGAGGUGCGAAAGCGUGGGGAGCAAACAGG